This 340-nucleotide long non-coding RNA is filed under the name Brassica rapa (field mustard). Its description in RNAcentral is "long non-coding RNA (BRAP_LNC001742)". Lineage: Eukaryota; Viridiplantae; Streptophyta; Magnoliopsida; Brassicales; Brassicaceae. The record is from RNAcentral.
CCCCCUUUCUAUACAAAGUAGAAAAAUCUGUAAACUCUAUACAAAACUGAAUUGACUCCUUAACUCCUAUCAAACCACAGCUCCAUUGCUUUGUCAAAUUUCCCUCCUUUUCUUCUUCUCAAAGAAGUAAUCCUAUUCCUGAUCAACUUAUCUAAUCUGGCUAUUAGACAAGAAGCAGGUAGAGAAGAAAUACCUAAUCUUCUUAGGUUUCUUUCAUUCCAUACUGCAUACGCCACUGCUUGGAAACAAUAACGGAACAGGAAAGUUACAAGCCUUCCUUGAAACCCAUUAACCACUGCCCGUACUACCUCCAACCACUUAUAUAUACGCCUGCUACCUG